This 2142-nucleotide long non-coding RNA is filed under the name Theobroma cacao (cacao). RNAcentral's name for it is "long non-coding RNA (TCAC_LNC000266)". Lineage: Eukaryota; Viridiplantae; Streptophyta; Magnoliopsida; Malvales; Malvaceae. The record is from RNAcentral.
CCCACGUAUUCUGAUGAGGAAAUCCUGAUUGGAAUUGACUUCUUUAUUCACCCAACUUAGCCUAACUUCAAAGCCCUAUGAAAACAACCUUUCGAAGGACUUUUAGGAUAUAACGAAACAUCGAAUCGAAAGCUAAGAAUCAAGCCACAAAGUCAUUGAAGCUGAGAAGAAUUUGAAAGAUUCAAGGAGAUUUGGAGAUCAAGAUUACAAUUCUUGGGUUUUUCUAUCUUUUUGUUAUUAUCUUAUUUUCUUGGUUUUGUUUUUAAUGAGUAAACUUUAUUUGAUGAUGAUGUGUGACUUGAUGGGGGACUAAAUUAUUAAUCUAAGAUUAUGAUUGAACUCAAUACGUAAUGUAGUUUUCUUAUCUCUCUUUUGCUUAUGUUUGAUGGAUUUUAGUUGUUUAUUCUAUUUUGUUAAUUCUAUUUUGUUCUUAAUGCUUAUAGUUGAUUGGCCGCCAAUUAGAUUGAAUUAGAAAUCUAAGUUAAACCUUAAACAAGGAAAUUUAGGUAGACCUUGAAUAGAAUAGCGUAUGAUCGAAUACACUUAGUUGAUUAGGUGGUUUUUUUUGCAUAUAGGGUAAACAUACACCUACAAGCCAUACAUAUCUAGUAUUAGAGCACAAACUUAAUGAAUAGUUUUUCAAUUUAAUUUGCAUAGACAUAUAGUAAAUUAAUUGAAAUAUGUAUUUUUAUGAGAAACUCAACAAAGACUUGUAAAUAAUUUAGGACUCUAGGUUAGUAGCUUAAUCCAUUAAACUAAGUUAAAAGAGAGACACAAUAAUCAGAUGAAGUAUUUAGGGACAUCAUAAUCUUAGGUCUGGUAGUCACUUAGAUUUAAUAAAAUAAAUUUUGCUAAUAGAUUUGAGAUUAGUUUUAUUUUUAGUUUAUUAGUUUAUUAGUUUUAAUUAUAAUUUGAAUUGUUUGGAUAAGAUUAAAGUGUGUCAAUUUUAGUACGAUACUUUACUCAUCAUUAUAUUAUCUUUUCGAUACGUAUACUUGUGUGGGUAGAAAAUUGAACAACACCCCCUCAUCACAAAGCACGCCCAAAACCCUAUCAUCUGAACCUAAAAUCUCAAAGAUCUAGCUACUUAAGCCUCCAAAAUGUGUCAAAAUAACUCUAUAUAAUAGAGUUAUCAAACUCCUAACAUACCUUUUCAUAAGAUUUUUCUUGAUAUUUUGCACUUGUGUUAAAUUUUAUUAGUUCCUCAUUCUUAUUUAGUCUUUACUAGAUUUAAUUCACCAUAUCUUUUCAAAAUUCGAUUUCUCAAAUAACAUUAUUGGUUUGAUCAUUUUAUUUGCAUAUUUUUAUCAAUCCUCAUUAGGAACGAUAUCAUACUUAUCUCUUUAUUACGUGAACGAUUACUACACUUACUAGUGUUAUUUUAUUCACAUCAAGUUUUUAAAGUUGUUGUCAGGGAUUAAAUUAAAAAUUUAUAUUUAUUUUGAUUUUACUUGUUCGUUUGAGAGCUUUUAAAUUUCUAUUUUGUUUUUAUUUAUGUCAUGUCUUCUUUCCUAUUGCAUGACACGUGCUAGAAAAGAAGUACUCAAAACAUCUGUCCCAGAAAUUGAGCAUACUCUACAUACCUUGAAGAGAAUGGCAGCCAUACCUAUUGGCAACGUAGGAGAAGAAAACAAUGAAGAGGUAAAGCCACGGCCUCUCAAAGAUUAUGCCAUGCCCUCCAUUGAUGAGGUCGGAUCUAGCAUUUGGAGGCCAACCAUGUCACGACCCAAACCAAAGAGUUCGUGACCAGUGCACGAGCCCAACAGGCAAGCCCACUAGACUCGAGCAAGCCUAAGAGUUCACAACUAUAUAACACAAAGCCAAGGGAUUCUAUAAUCAAAUGUUUACAAUAAAACCAAAUAAAACAUAUUAUCCCAAGCACAUAGUUUAUAUAAAUGUUUAUAGGGCCAUAUGUUGGCCAUCCAAGAUGGGUUCCUACAUAACAACCCUUACAUAAGUUCAUAUGACACAUUGUGCCUACAUACAUAACCAAAGCCAACCUAAUGCAAAAGCUUGUAACGGACUGAGCAGAGUGAAAACAUCAAAAUGGAAACCUACCAAAUGCUAAAAUCGGUUUGUCACGAGGUGACCUUGACCACAUAGCUUUGUGACCUCUUUAUCUGCACAUGGUAUACAAAUGGG